This is a non-coding RNA of Anas platyrhynchos (mallard), 2177 nucleotides long. NCBI's taxonomy places the organism in Eukaryota, Metazoa, Chordata, Aves, Anseriformes, Anatidae. The record is from RefSeq and is a predicted model, not a curated record.
CCGAGCAGCAGAGGAGGUAUUGUGCUCGCCGCCGAGGCUGCACUGCCCUGCUGCUGAACAGAGGUGACCUCCUUCCGAGAAUAGCAGCUCAGCCUCUCUUUCUGUAGCUUUCAGUAUGGAAGUGCAGGAUUUCUUGGUACUUGCAGGAAAAAGUAAGGAUUCCGGGUUGAAUUCUACUCCACAGCAACAGCAUCCAAGAUGAGCAGUGGUAGUUAAUAAAAGUAGGUUUUGAUGGACUUUCUCUCCCCAUUAUUAUUCAGAUUAUUAAAAUUAAACACUGCAGAGCGUUUUGCUCUGUCAGGGAUGUGUUUGCUCACUGUCAGCAUUUUGCAGGUCUUAAACAUGGGCCAUCACUGGGAGCAAGUGUGAUAGUGCGAACACCACGGAGCAAUACUUAAACUUCAUCAAUUGUUCGCUGUUAGCCCGUGUUACGCAGGUGUGCUUGCUUGAAGGUGAUUUUCAACAUUUUGCUCACCACCCUUAAAAAUUACUAAGAGAGAGGCAGCAGACCCAGAUGUGCACAACUGAAGGUACUUGUGCUACCAGACCCAAUUUAACUCCUCUCUCUCGUUAUUUCUGAAUAGCCUUUGUUAAGCUGGGUGUGUGUUACAAAUACAUCUGUGUAUUUGGCUGAUGACCUACAGCUGAGACUUUUGACUAACCAGGCAGCUAUUUGCUUGCAGCUCUUCUCACUUGGUAAAUCAUUUUGAGACCGACUUUAUUCAUCUUUAUACUUUGAGCUGGAGUGCUUACAAGAAAGCAGAUGCUUUGAGUACCAAACGAAUCACGCAGCUGGAGCAGUGAUUUCUGACAUGGACAUGGACAGUCAGCGAGGUCCUACAGCGUGCCCAAGCCCAUUCUGCAGCGCUGGGAAGCCGGGAGACACCUCUCCUCUCCGUGAGCUGCAGCCAGCACACCUCCUCCAGGCUGCUCAAGAGAGAUGUGCUCGAGAUACUUUGAAAUAAUAAGAUUUAACACCUGUAAGAUUUAAUACCUGUAGUCAAGCCCUGUGAUAAGGCAUUGUUGUUUACUUUUUACUUGUUUUGCAGCUUUUCCAGUCUAAGAGCUCUAAAAGGUCUUGCUGACUCAAGUGCAUGCCUGCUGACCGGGAUUCACGUGGUGCUUAUGCAGAUGUGUUGGCUUCUGCUCGGCUGUGCUGGCUUCAUGCUGCUGCUUGGUUCUGGACAGGUCCUUAAACUGGCCGUCCAGCAUGUCCAAAAGCAUGUAGCAGCAUGCUUUGGGCACAAUUUAAAUAUCCAGAGGAUUCUGUGUACUUGCCAGGGGAUUAUGGAAGAGCAGACAAGCCAGGCAACUACCUUUUUCUGCUCUUAGUGUUGUAUAUUGCAAGGCUUCUGUGAUGCCUGAGUCAGGGAGGAAUUCGGUCCUGUCUGCAAGGGUCCCGCAGAGCACAUCCUCGCGUGUGGGUGGACUUCACUCAUGUGACACCAAGCUCUUGUUUCGCCAGAAGAGAUCAAUUGCCAGUUGCAAAUUUAAUUCCAGGGCUUCGUGCAGCUUGUGGGCGUAGUUCAGACAAGGAUGGUGGUUUCAUUUGACCUUAAAAUUAGCUGGAUGUUGUAGAGGAGAGGUCAGAUGUGCAUUCAGUAGUCCGUGUGGGUGAGGGACGGCAUUACAACCCUCUGUAUGUCCUGGAGCUUUCAACAUGGUAAAUUCUCAAACACCUGUGUAGGUAUGUAUGGCUGAAGCCCAAACAGCUGAGGUGUAGCUGAAAGCAGGACAACGUACUGCAGGAUGGGGCAGCAUCUCAAAACCAACCAGGUUCAACAGAUCCUCUUGCAGGAACUACUGGAGGAGGGCUUGUUUCCAGCCAGGAACGCAGGGAUGCUCGGAAAUACCGUGUGAGGCUGAGCAACUGUGAUCAGUAACCAGAGGAGACGGGGUUGUGGUUGGGAGCUCUGAAGCUCUUCCCAAAAUCUCUUCAUCAAGAAUUUCCUUUGAAGUGGCAAACUUUGGCUGAUUCUUGUUCAGGGGUGAAGAGGUCUGGUGCUGGCUAGCCAAAAAUGUGCUGGAAAAGGGGAUUCUACAAGUUACUUCAGAGUGAGCUAAAUAACUGCUCGAAUUAUUCUCCCUUUCCCAGCUAGUGGUUUGACUGCUGUGGUCAAGCAGAACAUCAUCUGUUUAUGUUUAGAUAACUCAGACAGAUACAGGCUUCAGGAUCC